Molecule: ribosomal RNA, 492 nt
Filed under: uncultured microorganism
Description: bacterial SSU rRNA
Rfam family: Bacterial small subunit ribosomal RNA
Source: RNAcentral
GAGUUUGAUCCUGGCUCAGAGUGAACGCUGGCGGUAGGCCUAACACAUGCAAGUCGAACGGCAGCACAGUAAGAGCUUGCUCUUACGGGUGGCGAGUGGCGGACGGGUGAGGAAUACAUCGGAAUCUACUUUUUCGUGGGGGAUAACGUAGGGAAACUUACGCUAAUACCGCAUACGACCUACGGUGAAAGCAGGGGAUCUUCGGACCUUGCGCGAUUGAAUGAGCCGAUGUCGGAUUAGCUAGUUGGCGGGGUAAAGGCCCACCAAGGCGACGAUCCGUAGCUGGUCUGAGAGGAUGAUCAGCCACACUGGAACUGAGACACGGUCCAGACUCCUACGGGAGGCAGCAGUGGGGAAUAUUGGACAAUGGGCGGCAAGCCUGAUCCAGCCAUACCGCGUGGGUGAAGAAGGCCUCGGUUGUAAGACCGUUUCGUUGGUAAGGAAAGUACCACGCCGGCGUAACGUACCUCGGUUGGGUAGUGACGGUACCCG